This 90-nucleotide non-coding RNA is filed under the name Clostridium ljungdahlii. RNAcentral's name for it is "Glycine riboswitch aptamer". It matches the Rfam family "Glycine riboswitch aptamer". Rfam says of the family: This family represents the bacterial glycine riboswitch. Glycine riboswitches usually consist of two metabolite-binding aptamers domains with similar structures in tandem. The aptamers cooperatively bind glycine to regulate the expression of downstream genes. Lineage: Bacteria; Bacillati; Bacillota; Clostridia; Eubacteriales; Clostridiaceae. The record is from Rfam by way of RNAcentral. RNAcentral also lists the same sequence under 1 other name.
AGACGAACCUCUGGAGAGACUCUUAUGAGCACCGAAGGGGAAAGCCAAAGUUGGGUGAAACUCUCAGGUACAAGGGACAGAGGAUUUUAU